This 253-nucleotide ribosomal RNA is filed under the name uncultured bacterium. RNAcentral describes it as "partial 16S ribosomal RNA". It matches the Rfam family "Bacterial small subunit ribosomal RNA", at positions 524 to 776 of the family's 1533-position model. The record is from RNAcentral.
UACGGAGGGUGCGAGCGUUAAUCGGAAUUACUGGGCGUAAAGGGCACGCAGGCGGUUUGUUAAGUCAGAUGUGAAAUCCCCGCGCUUAACGUGGGAACUGCAUUUGAAACUGGCGAGCUAGAGUCUUGUAGAGGGGGGUAGAAUUCCAGGUGUAGCGGUGAAAUGCGUAGAGAUCUGGAGGAAUACCGGUGGCGAAGGCGGCCCCCUGGACAAAGACUGACGCUGAGGUGCGAAAGCGUGGGGAGCAAACAGG